This 295-nucleotide ribosomal RNA is filed under the name uncultured bacterium. RNAcentral describes it as "partial 16S ribosomal RNA". It matches the Rfam family "Bacterial small subunit ribosomal RNA", at positions 30 to 326 of the family's 1533-position model. The record is from RNAcentral.
AUUGAACGCUGGCGGCAUGCCUUACACAUGCAAGUCGAACGGCAGCACGGGAGCAAUCCUGGUGGCGAGUGGCGAACGGGUGAGUAAUAUAUCGGAACGUGCCCGGUCGUGGGGAUAACGUAGCGAAAGCUACGCUAAUACCGCAUACGAUCUACGGAUGAAAGCGGGGGAUCGCAAGACCUCGCGCGAUUGGAGCGGCCGAUAUCAGAUUAGGUAGUUGGUGAGGUAAAGGCUCACCAAGCCGACGAUCUGUAGCUGGUCUGAGAGGACGACCAGCCACACUGGGACUGAGACA